RNAcentral lists this ribosomal RNA (241 nucleotides) under uncultured bacterium. RNAcentral's name for it is "partial 16S ribosomal RNA". It matches the Rfam family "Bacterial small subunit ribosomal RNA", at positions 113 to 354 of the family's 1533-position model. The record is from RNAcentral.
CGACGUGGGGAACCUGCCGUAUGCAGGGGGACAACAGUCAGAAAUGACUGCUAAUACCGCAUAAGCACACAAUGCUGCAUGGCAUGGUGUGAAAAGAUUUAUCGGCAUACGAUGGCCCCGCGUCUGAUUAGCCAGUUGGCAGGGUAAUGGCCUACCAAGGCAACGAUCAGUAGCCGGCCUGAGAGGGUGAACGGCCACAUUGGGACUGAGACACGGCCCAAACUCCUACGGGAGGCAGCAG